UCUGUAGGCGGCGGGGUAAGUCAGAUGUGAAAUCCCGGGGCUCAACCCCGGAACUGCAUCCGAUACUGCCUUGCUAGAGUAUUGGAGGGGAGUCUGGAAUUCUCGGUGUAGCAGUGAAAUGCGUAGAUAUCGAGAGGAACACUAGUGGCGAAGGCGAGACUCUGGACAAUUACUGACGCUGAGAGAGAAGGCCAGGGGAGCGAAAA
This 206-nucleotide ribosomal RNA is filed under the name uncultured bacterium. RNAcentral's name for it is "partial 16S ribosomal RNA". It matches the Rfam family "Bacterial small subunit ribosomal RNA", at positions 568 to 774 of the family's 1533-position model. The record is from RNAcentral.